AGCGAACGCUGGCGGCAGGCUUAACACAUGCAAGUCGAGCGCCCCGCAAGGGGAGCGGCAGACGGGUGAGUAACACGUGGGAACGUGCCUUUUGGUUCGGAACAACCCAGGGAAACUUGG
Molecule: ribosomal RNA, 120 nt
Filed under: uncultured bacterium
Lineage: Bacteria
Description: partial 16S ribosomal RNA
Rfam family: Bacterial small subunit ribosomal RNA
Source: RNAcentral